This 86-nucleotide transfer RNA is filed under the name Planctomycetota bacterium. RNAcentral describes it as "tRNA-Leu". It matches the Rfam family "tRNA". From Rfam's summary of the family: Transfer RNA (tRNA) molecules are approximately 80 nucleotides in length. Their secondary structure includes four short double-helical elements and three loops (D, anti-codon, and T loops). Further hydrogen bonds mediate the characteristic L-shaped molecular structure. tRNAs have two regions of fundamental functional importance: the anti-codon, which is responsible for specific mRNA codon recognition, and the 3' end, to which the tRNAs corresponding amino acid is attached (by aminoacyl-tRNA synthetases). tRNAs cope with the degeneracy of the genetic code in two manners: having more than one tRNA (with a specific anti-codon) for a particular amino acid; and 'wobble' base-pairing, i.e. permitting non-standard base-pairing at the 3rd anti-codon position. Lineage: Bacteria; Pseudomonadati; Planctomycetota. The record is from RNAcentral.
GCCGGGAUGGCGGAAUGGCAGACGCAGUGGAUUCAAAAUCCACCGCCAGCAAUGGCGUCGGGGUUCAAGUCCCCGUCCCGGCACCA